Platichthys flesus (European flounder) is the source of this 458-nucleotide long non-coding RNA. RefSeq lists it as uncharacterized. The transcript is spliced from 3 exons. The record is from RefSeq and is a predicted model, not a curated record. Lineage: Eukaryota; Metazoa; Chordata; Actinopteri; Pleuronectiformes; Pleuronectidae.
GUAACUACCUCUAUAUCGCUAUAAUAAGCGAUAUAGUGGUUUGAAAUUUACGUGACGUCACAGUGAGCUGCGCCCUCCCUUCUCCUUACUUUUUCCUGUGUCAUUGAACACAACUCGAGACUUUCGAAACCUCCCACUCAGUAUCGGAUGAAUAACACAGUUUGAUGUUUUGCUUGUUCUGCUGACGGACACGUUAAAGACGUCUGCGCUCCCGUUUCUGUGCAUGUCCAGCAUGAGACAACUGGAAUUCAACCACAUUGAACACCGACUUCAGGGACAGACGAGCCUGAAGGACACAGCUGUGAUGACCAUGUUCUGUCUCUUAUGGCAAAGCAGAAAUAUAAAACACUGGGUUCUUAUCUAAAGUGUAUCAAAUCAGAUCUCCACCAUGUUGCUGCUGAGGACAUCAGGUGCUGCAGUUCUUCAUCUAUGAAGAGAAAAAACGCACUGUUAAAGAA